AAACCAGCACCUCAAGUGGUCAGGAGGAUUAUUGGGCCUAAAGCAUCCGUAGCCUGCUUUGUAAGUUUCCGGUUAAAUCCAUUAGCUCAACUGAUGGGCCGCCGGGAAUACUGUGCACCUAGGGAGUGGGAGAGGUAGACGGUACUCGGUAGGAAGGGGUAAAAUCCUUUGAUCUAUUGAUGACCACCUGUGGCGAAGGCGGUCUACCAGAACACGUUCGACGGUGAGGGAUGAAAGCUGGGGGAGCAAACCGGAUUAGAUACCCCAGUAGUCC
RNAcentral lists this ribosomal RNA (274 nucleotides) under uncultured bacterium. RNAcentral describes it as "partial 16S ribosomal RNA". It matches the Rfam family "Archaeal small subunit ribosomal RNA", at positions 473 to 747 of the family's 1478-position model. The record is from RNAcentral.